This is a long non-coding RNA of Phyllostomus discolor (pale spear-nosed bat), 569 nucleotides long. RefSeq lists it as uncharacterized. NCBI's taxonomy places the organism in Eukaryota, Metazoa, Chordata, Mammalia, Chiroptera, Phyllostomidae. The transcript has 2 exons. The record is from RefSeq and is a predicted model, not a curated record.
GGUGGCUGGCAACUUGGCGCUUGGGAUAACAGAAAGAGCAUACUAUUCUCUCUGGUUGUUGAGUCUGGUGUUUGCAUAAGUUAACUACGGAGAUUGCGCUGCACUCCUCCGAGGCAAACCUGGAAAGAUUAGAAGAGGAAGCAUUAUAUCAUGUUUCCUUCCCUCCUCUCCGGUUCCUUGGCAACGGGAAAACCCAAACCUCUCAAGCUUGUGAACGGAGGCUUAUUUUUUUGGUCCUCUGCUGCCUCUGUGUGGACAUAGCUGGAAACAACAGUUCAAAAUUUCACUAAGGAGUGUGAAAUGGGACUUCGGGUUCACAGAGGAGAGGUACAGAACUCAAACAAGCUGCCAAUGACUCCAAGAGGUUCUCUUCUUGUCCACCAUCUUUAUUUUUCCCCAAGACAAUUGCACCCUGUAAGCGAGCGAUUCUGUAAAGACUCCCAGUCAUGCAUCUCUGUCGCUUUGGGCCACAACCGGCACCCACGGGCACAGUGCCAACCCUCCCACACCUGCUCUUCCUGUGCUUGGAGUAACAAGUCUGUGGGUUUCUCCCUCGGGUUUCACAGCUU